Molecule: ribosomal RNA, 497 nt
Filed under: uncultured bacterium
Lineage: Bacteria
Description: partial 16S ribosomal RNA
Rfam family: Bacterial small subunit ribosomal RNA
Source: RNAcentral
GAUGAACGCUGGCGGCGUGCCUAAUACAUGCAAGUCGAGCGAACGGACGAGAAGCUUGCUUCUCUGAUGUUAGCGGCGGACGGGUGAGUAACACGUGGAUAACCUACCUAUAAGACUGGGAUAACUUCGGGAAACCGGAGCUAAUACCGGAUGAUAUUUUGAACCGCAUGGUUCAAAAGUGAAAGACGGUCUUGCUGUCACUUAUAGAUGGAUCCGCGCUGCAUUAGCUAGUUGGUAAGGUAACGGCUUACCAAGGCAACGAUGCAUAGCCGACCUGAGAGGCUGAUCGGCCACACUGGAACGGAGACACGGUCCAGACUCCUACGGGAGGCAGCAGUAGGGAAUCUUCCGCAAUGGGCGAGAGCCUGACGGAGCAACGCCGCGUGAGUGAUGAAGGUCUUCGGAUCGUAAAACUCUGUUAUUAGGGAAGAACAUAUGUGUAAGUAACUGUGCACAUCUUGACGGUACCUAAUCAGAAAGCCACGGCUAACUACGUG